This 460-nucleotide ribosomal RNA is filed under the name uncultured bacterium. Its description in RNAcentral is "partial 16S ribosomal RNA". It matches the Rfam family "Bacterial small subunit ribosomal RNA", at positions 338 to 795 of the family's 1533-position model. The record is from RNAcentral.
CCUACGGGGCGCAGCAGUGAGGAAUAUUGGUCAAUGGGCGAGAGCCUGAACCAGCCAAGUCGCGUGAAGGAUGACGGCCCUACGGGCUGUAAACUUCAUUUGUCAGGGAGCAAUUGAGUCCACGUGUGGACUGAGCGAGAGUACCUGAAGAAAAAGCAUCGGCUAACUCCGUGCCAGCAGCCGCGGUAAUACGGAGGAUGCGAGCGGUAUCCGGUUUUAUGUGGUUUAAAGGGUGCGUAGGCGGAAUAUCAGGUCAGAGGGAAAAAUUCGGGGCUCAACCCCGUCGUGCCGUGGAAACUGAUGUUCUUGAGUGGGCGAGAAGUAUGCGGAAUGCGUGGUGUAGCGGUGAAAUGCGUAGAUAUCACGCAGAACUCCGAUUGCGAAGGAAGCAUACCGGCGCCCAACUGACGCUGAAGCACGAAAGCGUGGGUAUCGAACAGGAUUAGAUACCCGUGUAGUC